RNAcentral lists this ribosomal RNA (496 nucleotides) under uncultured bacterium. RNAcentral describes it as "partial 16S ribosomal RNA". It matches the Rfam family "Bacterial small subunit ribosomal RNA", at positions 28 to 507 of the family's 1533-position model. The record is from RNAcentral.
GAUGAACGCUGGCGGCGUGCCUAAUACAUGCAAGUCGAGCGAACAGACGAGGUGCUUGUUCCUCUGACGUUAGCGGCGAACGGGUGAGUAACCCGUGGGUAACCUCCCUUUAAGCGGGGGACAACAUGGGGAAACGGAUGCUAAUACCGCAUAAAAACUUUAAACACAGGUUUUAAGGUUGAAAGAUGCUUUUGCGUCACUUAAAGAUGGUUCCGCGCCGUAUUAGCUAGUUGGGAAGGUAAAGGCUUACCAAGGGAAAGAUACGUAGCCGACCGGGGAGGGUGAUCGGCAAAACUGGAACGAGAACACGGUCCAAACUCCUACGGAGGGCGGAGGAGGGGAAUCUUCCGCAAUGAGCGAAGGCCUGACGGAGCAACCCGGCGUGGGUGAUGAAGGUCUUCGAAUCGUAAAACUCUGUUAUUGGGAAAGAACAAAUGGGUAAGUAACUAUGCACGUCUUGACGGUACCUAAUCAGAAAGCCACGGCUAACUACGUG